UGGUAGGUCCUCGGCGUCCGGGAGGAGCGGACCGGCCCUCCCGGGGACCGGGCAAGAGGGUGGGCCGGAAGCGGCAUCAGGCCCCGUGCCCAUUGGCCAGCCUCGCCAGGACGCUGCGACCUGGGACGUGCGAUUGGCUGCGGUGCGCCGCGUCGGUGCUGGCUUCGAGGUCGCGCGCCCGCCCACUUCCGGGGUCGCGCCAGGUCAGGAGUCCAGAGUCGGCUGAAGCGAGUUGCCGCGUUCUCUCUGGCGGCGCGACACCGGCCCGUGGACCGCCCGGCCGCCCUCCAGGACCCGGUCUGCAGGAGCGGAGAGGGCGGUGUGGACACCGCCUGCAGGCGAGGAGAAGGGGUGGCGGAGAGGGUACCUGGGUGCGUGGCUGUGCGGCGUCAGGAGGAGCAGGGUGUGGGCGCCCGGCCUGGGGCGUGGAGAGGACGCAGGGAACAGGUGUCUUCCUGGUAUCCAUCGAACUGAAACGUAGCCCUUGAGCACACACUACACUUAAAGCUUUACUCUUUCGAGGAGGAGUCCUGGAAGCAUAUGUGAUUUUGUGACUAUAGCAUGGUGUGGUGUCAGUAACAGGCCCUGGAUUGCUCAAACUCUAUUGUCAGUGACAAAACCCAGUGUAAGCUGGCCUAAUAUAUUAAUAGUAAUAUGCGAGUCCUCCCGGGGUGGCGGGCACUGACGUAAGUGCUUUACUUGGGUCUUCUCAUUUCAUCCUCCCAGCAACCCAAAGAGCUGGCGGCGUCAUUCCCAUUUUACAAAUGCGAACACGGGCUCAGAGAUGGAGCGACUCACGUUGUAAGCGAUGGAACUGGGAUUUGAAAACACUGUAUCCCGCCUGGCAGAAAACUGGCAAGGUUAGGAUGGAGAAAGGAGAAAAAAGAAAGAUGUCGGCCAGGUGCGGCGGUUCAUACCUGUAAUCCCAGCACUUUGGGAGGCCAAGGCGGGCGGAUCACUUGAGGUCAGGGGUUUGAGACCAGCCUGGCCAAGAUGGUGAAACCCCGUCUCUAGUAAAAAUGCAAAAUUAGCCAGGGGUGGUGGCGCAUGCCUGUAAUCUCAGCUACUCGGGAGACUGAGGCAGGAAAAUCGCUUGAACUGGGGAGGUGGAGGUUGCAGUGAGCUGAGAUCGUGCCACUGUGCCACCGCACUACAGCCUGGGCGACAAGAGCAAAACUCCUUCUCAAAAAAGAAAAAAAAGGGCAUCUGAUGGAAGGCUAGAUACUACCCGACAUUGAGCUAAACCAAUGUCACCUGGUUGGACCUAGGGACCUAUUCCUGCUCCCCCUCUAGUUCUGUCUCAUUUCUGGGGUUGCACACAGGCUUUUCCUGGGCCUUCAUGUUUGGGGAAGCCCCACACAGGCCAGCUCCAGUGGAAGAAAACGCCCCCAGAAGCCUCUUGUUCACCCCGGAUGGCUCUGUGGAGUCCUGUGUCUGACCCUGACUUUAGCUUGGGCCUGAGGGACUGGCAUUUGUGGACUUGGUCUGGAGAUGUGGGCAGAGCCCCCCUCAAGCAUAAGGGCUCAGCCAGGCACAGGGGGUGGCUCCUCAGAGGAAGAUCAGGGUGCUAUUAGCAGAAGGACGAUGAGUGGGCCGGGCGCAGUGGUUCACGCCUGUAAUCCCAGCCCUUUGGGAGGCCGAGGCGGGUGGAUCAUGAGGUCAGGAGAUGAGACCAUCCUGGCUAACAUGGUGAAACACCGUCUCUACUAAAAACACAAAAAAUUAGCCGGGCGUGGUGGCGGGCGCCUGUAGUCCCAGCUACUCGGGAGGCUGAGGCAGGAUAAUGAGGUGAACCCAGGAGGCGGAGCUUGCAGUGAGCUGAGAUUGUGCCACUACACUCCAGCCUGGGCAACAGAGCAAAACUCUGUCUCAAAAAAAAAAAAAAAAAAAAAAAAGGAGGAUGAGUGGUCGCUAGACUGCUGGAGAAACAGUCUAGAGGUAGGGAGCCCUGGGUUCUGUCCUGCCUGUGACACUCUGUAGCCAUUUAUCUCCUCUUUAGCUUUAGUUUCCACAUUAAAAGAGGCAUUGAAAAAAAAUGAAAAAGAGGCAUUGAAUUAGGAGCUUUCUGUGGCCCCUUGCAGUUUUCAUGUGUGGUGACAAAGUUCAAUAUAGUUUUCCUGAAUUCAGGGGCUUGGGGACCCAUGUCCCCCUAUCCCGAGUUCUUUUUUUUUUUUUUUUUUUUUGAGAGGGAGUCUCACUCUGUCACCCAGGCUGCAGUGCAGUGGUGAGAUCUCAGCUCACUGCAACCUCCACCUCCCAGGUUCAAGCGAUUCUCCUUUCUCAGCCUCCUGAGUAGCUGGGACUACAGGUGUGUGCCACCACGCCAGGCUAAUUUUUUUAUUUUUAGUAGAGACAGGAUCUCACCAUGUUGGCCAGGCUGGUCUUGAACUCCUGACCUCAGGUAAUCCACCCAUCUCAGCCUCCCAAAGUGCUGGGAUUAUAGGCGUGAGCCAGCAUGCCCGGCCAAAAGUUUGCUUUCUUUUGAGUCUGUGAUCAGCCUUUCACUGAAUACACAAUUUACAUGUGAGAGUGGGUAGAGGAAUAGUCACAUAUGCCUUACUCACUGUCUGGCUCAGUGAAUCUGCAUUUUGUAUAAACAAUAGGACAGAGGAAGAAAUCACAUAUGCAUUUGUCUUCAGUGAGCGGAGGGCUGACUUUCUGCAUUGUACCUGUGAAGAUAAGCUAUCAAUUUACAUUGCCAGGGAAAAUUCAUCAGAACUGUUUUAGGGCAAAGAUCUUGAGGCCCGAAAGGAAUUUGCUUGUGGAGAAAUUGUGAGGGGGGUAUGUAGCUCUUUUGAACUUUCUAGCUAUCUUAUUGAAGAAUAAAACGGGAGGCAGGUUUGUCUGAUGCGACCCUCAGCUUGACUUUUCUCUUUGGCGUAGUGAUCUUGGGGUCCCGAGAUUUAUUUUCCUUUCACAGUAGGAUACAUUGAUCAGGUCAGUGCCACAGUACAAGGGUCAGAAGUGUUUGAACCCGAGCGACUCCAUCUUGAACAGGGGCUGGGUAAAAUGAGGCUGAGAACUGCUGGGCUCCAUCCCCAGGAGGUUGGGCAUUCUUGGUCACAGGAUGAAAUAGGAGGUCAGCAGGUUUGGUAUCACAAGAUACAGGUCACAAAGCCCCUGCUGAUAGAAGAGGAUGCGGUAAAGAAGCCAGCCAAAACCACGAUGGUGAUGAAAGUGACUUCUGGUUGUCCUCACCGCUCAUUAUACUCUAAUUAUAAUACAUUAGCAUGCUAAAAGACACUCCUACCGGUGCUGUGACAGUUUAUAGAUGCCAUGGCAACGUCAGGAAGUUACCCUAUAUGGUCUGAAAAGGAGGGGAAACCUUAGUUCCAGGAAUUGCCCUCUGCUUUCCUGGAAAACUCAUGAAUAAUCCACCCCUUGUUUACCAUAGAACCAAGAAAUAACUAUAAGUAUACUCAGUCCAGCAGCUCAUGCUGCUGCUCUGGCUGUGGAGUAGUCAUUCUUUUAUUCCUUUACUUUCUUUUAUUUUUUAUUUAUUAUUAUUAUUAUUAUCUUAUUUGAGAUGGAGUCUCUGUCGCCCAGGCUGGAGUGCAGUGGCGCGGUCUUGGCUCACUGCAACCUCCGCCUCCUGGGUUCAAGUGAUUCUCCUGCCUCAGCCUCCUGAGUAGCUGGGAUUACAGGCGCAUGCCAGCAUGCCCGGCUGAUUUUUAUAUUUUUAAUAGAGAUGGGGUUUCACCAUGUUGGCCAGGCUGGCCUCGAACUCCUGACCUCAGGUGAUCCGCUCACCUCGGCCUCCCAAAGUGCUGGGAUUACAGGCGUGAGCCACCACGCCUGGCCUGGAGUAGUCUUUUAUUCCUUUACUUUAUUAUCAUUAUUAUUUUUGAGAUAGAAUCUUGCUCUGUUGCCCAGACUGGAGUGCAGUGGCACUAUCUCAGCUCACUGCAACCUCUACCUCCCGGAUUCAAGCAAUUCUCCUGCCUCAACCUCCUGAGUAGCUGGGAUUACAGGUGCACGCCACCACACCCAGCUAAUUUUUGUAUUUUUAGUAGAGACGUGGUUUCACCAUGUUGGCCAGGAUGUUCUUGAACUCUUGACCUCAAGUGAUCCGCCCACCUUGGCUUCCCAAAGUGCUGGGAUUACAGGUGUAAACCACUGCACCCAGCCUGUUCAUUUACUUUCUUAAUAAGCUUGCUUUCACUUUAUGGACUUGCCCCAAACUCUUUAUUAUGUGAGGUCCAAGAACCCUCUCUUGGGGUCUGGAUCGAGGCCCCUUUGCAGUAUAACAAGGAUCAGGAGUAGACAAAGAAAAGUCCAGGUCCCUGGCUCAACAGAAUCUACUCUCCAGCAAACAAGAUAAAACUUGCUAUCUCCCUUUAAUUGAAGUCCCUAAUGUUUAAUGGAAGUCCCAGUAGGCAUCCAUAUGGUCUCUGUAUUUACCAGCGGCUGGAAGCUCGCUUUGUACGUUACUCUGCACAACACCACAUGACUGCUCCUGACAGUAAUUUGAGGAGCUUCUGGUGAUGGUAAACUUGCACAGUAUGUUCAAAACCAACCUACAAUCUGUGUUACGCCUGUAUGUUUCACAAGGAACAUGUCUGUAUAUUUCGACUCCAGAAAUAUAAUUUGUCAAACCAAUUAUCGUACCUAAAAUGUCUUGUGCUGUGUUUUAUAAUAAUUUACGCAAAUGAGUUUCAUUUCAUGUAAUUAACCUAUUCCAGUGUGAUGUUUCUCACCCCAACUUUGCCAGCUCUCUUUCCAGCACAGAAACAGAUUCCGCUAACCAUCGCCAAAGGCAGGACCUGUGAACAGCUGAAGCAUCUCCUGGUCUCUGCUCUGCUGAGCCUUCCAUAGCAAAUCCCAGGCAGACAGGGUCCUGAGGAUUGAUGGCACCUGAGCAGCAGUUGUGACCUUCCGCAACAUUCUCUUAUGCCUCUAUAAAAGCCAGUAAUCUCCCGGCAUGAUGGCUCAUGCCUAUAACGUCAGAGUUUUGGAAAGCGGAGGUGGGAGGAUCACUUCAGGUCAGGAGUUUGAGACCAGCCUGGGCAUCAAAGUGAGCCUCUAUCCCUACAAAACAUUUUUUUAAUUAGCCAGAUGUGGUAGUGCGUGUCUGUAGUCCCAGUUACUAGGGAGGCUGAGGCAAGAGGAUCGCUUAAGCCUAGGAGGUCGAAGCUGCAGCGACCUGUGAUUGCACCACUGCACUGCAGCCUAGGUGAUGGAGCAAGACCCUGUCUCAAAAGAAAAAAGAAGGGCCGGGCAUGGUGGCUCACUCCUGUAAUCCCAGCAGUUUGGGAGGCCGAGGCAGGCAGAUCACGAGGUCAGGAGAUUGAGACCAUCCUGGCCAACACGGUGAAACCCUGUCUCUACUAAAAAUAAAAAAAAUCAGCUGGGCGUGGUGGCACGCGCCUGUAGUCCCAGCUACUCGGUAGGGCGAGACAGGAGAAUCGCUUGAACCCGGGAAGCGGAGGUUGCAGUGAGCCGAUAUCGCGCCACUGCACUCCAGCCUGGGUGACAAGGCAAGACUCUGUCUCAAAAAAAAAAAAAAAAAGAAAGAAAAAAGAAGAAAGAAGAAAAAGAAACAAAUGGUCAAUAAACUUAUGAAGAAGUGCUCAACUACAGCGAUAAGCAGGAAAAUGCAAAUUAAACCCACAAUGAGUUGCCUGCCAGACAGGCUAAGGGAGUAGAAGUACGAGCUGGUGCCAUCACUGGGGAAAUCAGUGACAUGACCUCAUAGAGCUGAAGCUAAGAUUGUGCUGUGGCCCAGCAGUGAUUUAGGUGCUGUACGUACACACCUUACCAGCAUUCUCUAUGUAACAACAGCCCCAGGUGUCCAUCUGUAGUGGAAUGCAUGAUCAGUGUGAUGGAGUCACAUUAGGUUGCUGCAAAAGGACUUGUGGUUUUGGCCAUUAAAAGUAAUGACAGGGUGGGUGCGAUGGCUCACACCAGUUAUCCCAACGCUUUGGGAGGCCGAGGUGGGCAGAUCACUUGAGGUCAGGAGUUUGAGACCAGCCUGGCCAAAAUGGCAAAACUCUCUGCUCAAAAUACAAAAAUUAGCUGGGCAUGGUGGCACACACCUGUAAUCCCAUCUACUCAGGAGGCUGAGGCAGGAAAAUUGCUUGAACCCAGGAGGUGGAGGUUGCAGUGAGAUGAGAUCAUGCAACUACACUCCAGCCUGGGCAACAGAGUGAGACUCCGUCUCAAAAAAAAAGAAAAAAGAAAAAAAGAAAAAAGGCCAGGCAUAGUAGCUCACGC
RNAcentral lists this long non-coding RNA (6213 nucleotides) under Homo sapiens (human). RNAcentral's name for it is "non-protein coding lnc-BRI3-2:1". Lineage: Eukaryota; Metazoa; Chordata; Mammalia; Primates; Hominidae. The record is from RNAcentral.